Pogoniulus pusillus (Red-fronted tinkerbird) is the source of this 727-nucleotide long non-coding RNA. RefSeq lists it as uncharacterized. Lineage: Eukaryota; Metazoa; Chordata; Aves; Piciformes; Lybiidae. The record is from RefSeq and is a predicted model, not a curated record. The transcript is spliced from 2 exons.
UCAUCAGGGAAGCUUUCUCUUUAUGCUUCCAAGGAGAGUUCAGCGUUGCCCCAGGAGGGAGGGACACAUCUAAUCAAUGCCCCUCCACCUUCACCCAAGCCUCCUGUGGAAGAAAGCCCUUGGACAAUGCUGCUUAUGGAUUUGCCAUUCAGUGCCAGCCUUCAGGAAAUAACUUCCAGCACCUACAGCAACUCUGCUAGUGUGACUUUCAAGGAAGAUGGCAAACAGACUCAGCAGCUUUUAGCGUUUGCCAGUUACUUGUGGGACAAAGCCUAAGUUGGAUGGCAGCCACUGAUGCUAUAUACCAAAUUAAUAUGCAAGAGAUUUACAGCUGAUCUUGGCAAAGAAAACACAGUCCUUUAGACACCAGUUUCUCAAUCAAUCACACAUGAGGCAACUGCGCUAUGUGGACACAUCCUUAAAGUUAAGCAAGAAAAAUAAAGAUGGGAGGAAAAAAAAAGUUGUUGUUAUUGUUGUUAGGUUUUUACAGUAGCAAUGUCCAGCAAAACUGUUUGGGUAUUUUUUUGUCUCCCACAAAAAAAAUUCUUCCAUGGGUAUUGAAUUAAAAGGUAGAAAUAUCACUGGAGGUUAAAACUGUUGCACUUCUUGUAAAUGUCACACUGCAGGAAAUGUUAUUGGUCACUAUUUGUACUGCUGAGAGAGGCCUUAGAGCUUCUCAUAUAAAGACAUCUUCCACCACAGGAAAUAAUGUGUAUCAUCAUCAUCA